UACGUAGGGUCCGAGCGUUGUCCGGAAUUACUGGGCGUAAAGAGCUCGUAGGUGGUUUGUCGCGUUGUUCGUGAAAACUCACAGCUUAACUGUGGGCGUGCGGGCGAUACGGGCAGACUAGAGUACUGCAGGGGAGACUGGAAUUCCUAGUGUAGCGGUGGAAUGCGCAGAUAUCAGGAGGAACACCGGUGGCGAAGGCGGGUCUCUGGGCAGUAACUGACGCUGAGGAGCGAAAGCGUGGGGAGCGAACAGG
This 253-nucleotide ribosomal RNA is filed under the name uncultured bacterium. RNAcentral's name for it is "partial 16S ribosomal RNA". It matches the Rfam family "Bacterial small subunit ribosomal RNA", at positions 524 to 776 of the family's 1533-position model. The record is from RNAcentral.